CCUGCCCCAGAAGCAUCAGGUAUGACUGCUGGGUCAUGAGUGCAUCAGUAGGUGGCAGAGAGGAGAGAGAACCUAUGGACAUCUAAUGACUGGUAGCCUAGUGGUCUCUGAAA
This 113-nucleotide small nucleolar RNA is filed under the name Mus pahari (shrew mouse). Its description in RNAcentral is "snoRNA (MGP_PahariEiJ_G0034360.1)". The stretch from base 1 to 83 matches the Rfam family "Small nucleolar RNA SNORA17". Rfam says of the family: snoRNA ACA 17 belongs to the H/ACA family of snoRNAs and is predicted to guide pseudouridylation of the 28S rRNA at positions U4659 and U4598. Lineage: Eukaryota; Metazoa; Chordata; Mammalia; Rodentia; Muridae. The record is from RNAcentral.